CGAGCCAGGACGUGGCAGUUGACGGCGAUGUUAGGAAGUCCGAAGACGUCGGAAGAGGCCUCGGGAAGAGGUAUCUUUUCUGCUUAACGGCCUGCCAACCCUAGAAACGGUUCAGCCGAAGGUAGGGUCCAGCGGCCGGAAGAGCACCGCACGUCACGCGGUAUCCGGUGC
This 171-nucleotide ribosomal RNA is filed under the name Oryza sativa Japonica Group (Japanese rice). RNAcentral's name for it is "28S ribosomal RNA". It matches the Rfam family "Eukaryotic large subunit ribosomal RNA", at positions 1620 to 1790 of the family's 3401-position model. Lineage: Eukaryota; Viridiplantae; Streptophyta; Magnoliopsida; Poales; Poaceae. The record is from RNAcentral.